GAGUUCUUAGCUUAAGUUAGAAAGCGUCCCGCUGUAAACGGGGAGAUGGCUGUGGUCAGGCUUCA
This 65-nucleotide transfer RNA is filed under the name Pinctada imbricata (Akoya pearl oyster). Its description in RNAcentral is "tRNA-Tyr". The record is from RNAcentral. Lineage: Eukaryota; Metazoa; Mollusca; Bivalvia; Pterioida; Pteriidae.